Molecule: long non-coding RNA, 5037 nt
Filed under: Salvia miltiorrhiza (redroot sage)
Lineage: Eukaryota; Viridiplantae; Streptophyta; Magnoliopsida; Lamiales; Lamiaceae
Description: long non-coding RNA (SMIL_LNC004531)
Source: RNAcentral
AUGACUUUUUUGGGAGAUGGUGAUUUGCCAGUAAUGGCUUUCUUCACCUUGGCAAUUGAAUGCUUGACUUUUGAUCCAACGCCUGAAAGUAUGUUGUGAGAUUUCUUAUGAGCUACUUUGAUGUCUGCAUCUCCAAUAUCCACCAUGACUGGUGCUUCAGAAGAUAAGUCUGAUUUUGUGUGUUCAUGUGAUUCCUCUUCAUCCUCGUCAUUGUUCUCUUGAGUUGCCUUUUUUUCAUCAUCUGCCAAUGAAGAUUCAGGCUUCCCUUCGAUUUUCUUAUUUCCGCAUUCCUCUUCUUCUUCCUCAACUUUAGAAGCUUUCACUACUUGAUUGUCGCCAUCUAGGUUCUCAGGAAUCAAAUUCCUGGUAUCAUGCAGGACAUGCUUAUCUUUCAAGGAAGGCGCUGCCUCAUUUUCUGAUGUUUUGACUUUUUUGUCAUCUUGAGCUGUAUCCUCAACACAACUUUGAUGAAUGCUUGAUUCUGUAGCUGCACCAUCGACACUUUCUAACUGACUGGGGAUAUGUUUGUCUUCUUCAUGGAUGUCCCCACUAUCCCUUCCCACUUUCUGUUCUUCUGUUUCUUGCUCUGAGACUGAGACAGCUUCAUUUUGAAUUGCUUUUGUUUCCUGUCCUUGGAUGGUCUCCAUUCUUUCUUCUGGAUUAUGCUGUUCGCUUUGAAUAUUCACCUCAUCAUCUUUUUCUGCCAUUUUCACUUCAGUAUCUGAUUCUUCUGGCAAGUCAUCAAGUUUGGUUUGUUGGUUUUUGGGCUCCAGUGGUGUACUUUCUCCUGAAGUUUCCACUGGUGUGGAGGUGUCUGCCAUCUCUGUGCAUUUAUCAUUCAAUUCUUCAACCUCUUUACUUUCUAAUCCAGUUGCUUCUGGAACUGGAACAGCAGCCCCCAAAUCAAUCCCAGCUUCUGCUUCAGCAUCCUCUGAGGGUUGUUCUUUUAGUGAAAUGUCUUCACAUUCUGUGAUUUUUUCUUCAGAAAACUUUUUUGUAGUGGAUUUUUCACUGUCUUCCUGCCCAACAUCACUAAUUGCACAUUCUGAUAUAUCUUUGGUUUGAGAUGAUAAAUCAAACUUCUGAGCCUCAACAUAGGCUUCUUCAUCUUCCUCCACACUUUUACUUUCUGAAAGUAUCAGAUUUUCCUGCAGAGUAGAUGUCUAAUUAGAAAAUGGUUAACAUCAAUUCCUUAAUGAUGAAUAUGGGUGUAUGCAGUAUGCUAUAUUCCUUUUACCUCAUCUUUUGCCUGCACUUCAUCUGACCUGCAGAUUUCAUCUUCCUUGUUCUGUUCCUCACUUUCCCUCCCAGGGAUUACUGCUAUUUGAACAGCCUACACAUAUUAUAGGCUAUUAACAUAGUACUCAAAGUAUAUUUGGUGAACCUGUAAUUUCCUAUGUAUUACGAGUGCCAUGCUUCAGAAUGGAAAUCAAUGUUGAGAAAGUGAACUUAAAUGAACAUACCUCUUUGUUUGAAUCUUGAGUGUCUGUUUUCACACAUGAAAUGUCCAACUCACGAGCAUUUUCAUUGUCUAUUUUAGUUGUAGGCUCCUUAAUGCUCGUUACCUGCUCUUCUUGGUGGAGGAUGUUGUCAUUUGCUUCAUUCGUAACUAUCUUUUCUUCUAGGUCUUCUGGAGCCUUGUCAUCGGCUUCUUCAGAAACUUCUGGUACCUGCUCAAUGAAUGGCAUUUCAACGUCAUAAGAUGCUGAGCUUUAUCAAGAAAACAGAGUAUGUAUGUUCUUACAGUUUCGGUAUCAUUUUCAUUGUUUGUGAACUCGUAUGUUUCUUUGCUGUUUAACUGUUGAUCUUGCAUAACCUCAUCUUCUUGGUGACUAUCUGUGAUUACCUCUUCCUCACAAGAACCUUGAUGAUAAUCUUUUAUAUCUUCGUGUUCCUCCUUGAUCUGCAUAUUGUAUCAUUUUGUUAGGGCUUAAUGUUCAUCUAACGGAAGGAACAAAGGUACUUGUAAAAGAUGCAGGAGAUUAGAAGAGUUUACUCUUGGUAAUUGUUCCUUCUCGCUUGAAAUGUCGCUCUUCAUGAUUUCUUUCUCAAUCGUAGUUUCUUCUUGUACUAUUUCCUCUGUUACAUCUUUGUCAGAUUGUAUUCCUGCUUUUGCUCUAAGAUCUUCUUCCUCUGUUUUAGUCUCUUCUGUUUCUGAAAUUAUGUCAAAACUUUGACCUUGGGCAAUAGAUUCGAGGCUCCUGGUAUUGGACUCACAUUCUCCAGGCGUAAAUGCAACUUCAUUUGAGUCCGACUUUUCCUGAGUCAAGCUACCAACGUAGUUGGAGUUUUCCUCGACACUUUUAUCUCAGCAUCUUGACCUUCUGUAGAUGAGGGAGUUGUCUCUUUGAUUGCAGGAGCUUCUUCUUCAUUUUUGGUUUCAAGGUCUGUAACAGAGUAGGAUGCCAAGUCUUCCUCUAAUGCCACAUUGGAUGUUGAGACUUCCUCUGAUGCCACAGAGAUGGGGCUGCUUGCAAUCUCUUUAGAGUUAUUUGAAUCUAUUUCUUCUUCACCAUUAACCUCCUUCGAUUCCGAGACAUCCUCAGAAGCAGCAAAGUUAGGCAGUGCCUCUUGUUUAAAUAGCUCUGCUUCCUUUUCUCCAUUUGGAACAUGGACCUCUGUUUCUGCCAAAGAUUCACUUGUUGGUACUGCAGUGGGGCCAUCAUUCAGCACUUGUAUUUUGUCCAAGUCACCACAACUAUUUGCUUCUCCAACAACUUGUUGGUUAUUUUUGUCCGAGACCUCAGAUUCCAUGCCGGUACUAUCUAAUACAUGCUCGUUGCUUGUCAUCAUAUGUUCUUCUGACACUUUCAUGACCGGUGAAUCCUGUUGCUUGCAAUUGCUAACUACAGGAAUAUGCCCAAUGACAUCUUUGUUAACAUCCAAAUCUUCGUCUGUUAAGUUUAAGCUCCUUCUUUCCUGUUCAAAAAGAGUUUUUCAGAUAAAUUUUAAGAAGGGAGCAAACAAUAACAGAAACAUUUGAAAAAUUUGCUUCGGAUCAGAUUACUUGCCUGAUUAGAUGCUACUGUUACUGCAGUUGUCAUUUGAACAGCCUUGAAACCUUCUUCCUCCUCUGUUUCUCUUUUAGCAUCAACACUUUCCAUCUCUUUGGGCACCUGUAGAUCCCCAUAAAUGGUGAAUCACUGAUGUCAAACUUUGUAUAAAACAUUGAUUUUCAAAUCAAAUUACUACAAUUACUCACAGUGUACGUCAACUUUGUUAUUCCAAAACUUGUUUACUAUAGAAUAUAAUAGAUCUGUGUUUCAACAUUGCGUAAACUAAUUUUGUGAUAACGGAUUACUUAAGUUCAGAUGAUAAAUAUAAUUAUCAGUUUCAAUAUAACAAUUUGUUCUGGGACAAAAUGCACACAUAAACAAAUUGUGUAUGAGUAUAUAUACUGACCUCAUCCUUAGGAGUUUCAUUUUCAAAGACUGUUGGAUCAAUUGUUUUGUCCUCUUCAUUGUCAUUGAUGCGUGCUCCAGGACUUGCACAUAGGAUUUGUUCUUCUUGAGAAUUUGUUUCUCUAACUUCACUUAAACAAGGUUCUUCUCUAUCCUCAGAUGCUAUUUGUGGUAACUCAAUGGACACAUCUUCCUUUAUCAAUGUAGCUUCGGUGUUCUGCUCAUUUGGUGAGGCACCUUCCUGUGGAACACUUUUUGCAAUAUCCUACAAUAUGAAUAGAAAGAGAUUACGAAUCGUGUAAAGUUUGAAGAAUGAGUUUUGUUUUUCAUAUUCUUUAAGCUUGCUAUUACUUUCAUCUACAUGAUAGAAUAAACUUCAAGUAGUAGAGUCCAACUAAAAUUACCUGAGCCUCUUGAAUUUCCUCGCCUAUUGCAUCAUCAAUCUUUUCUGUUAUUUUGUUACUUGAGGUAUCUUCUGGAUCUAGGAUUUGCUCCACAGUGGAACUUCUUUCUGUGUCUUGACAUGGAGCAAAUGCCUUGAUAUCCUCAGCUGCUACUUGAAAGGAGUCAAUAGGAUCCUCAACCUCUGCUACUUCCUCAACCAACGUGCUUUCUGUGAUGUCAUCUUCUCGAUCAUCUGAUAAUGAUGUGCUUUCGCUAACCUUUACCAAAUGUUCUUCCUGUUCCAGUAGUAAUCCAUCUACUUGGUUUCGGGAAUCUUCUGUAGUGUCCUCAUCUGGAGUGGCUGCAAAGUUCUGCAUCCAAGUACAAAACAUUUGUUCAAUAUGUUUAUCUUGCAGAGAUAAAUUCUUGUUAACUUUUUUCCAGCAUAACAUAGCAAUUGAUUUUUCCAAAAUUUGUCCACUAAUUUUUUGAUAAUAAAGUCAGCUUACUACUAUGAUUCUCACCUUAUCCUCAAGAGUUUCUUUCUUGAGAUCAGUUGAAUCAAGUGUUUUUGUACAUUUUUCGUCAUAUAUGGUUUCAUGAGAAUCUGUAGUCGGGGCUUGCUCUUCUAAAUGGCUUGCUUCUCUAUCUUGACCUGAAGAAGUAUCUUUAAUAUCCUCAUCUGCUGCCUGCAAUGACUCAAUAUGUACUUCUUCCUUUACCGGAGCACAUUCUAUUUUUUCCUCAUCUUCAUGCAAGUUGGCUUUUACAGUGUUUUCAUAUGCAAAUUUGGCCUCAUGGGUAGUAGUUGGUUUAUCGUCGUUGAACUUUUCUGCUGGAACUUCUUCAGAAGAAGAUUCUUGUAAGCCAUCCACUUGAAUUGGUGACUUAUCCUCGCUGUCUUCAUUUGGAACGCUUAUUACGGCAUCCUGCAAUGAUAAUAACUUAAGAACGUGAUUGAGCUAAAAGAAGAAAUAUAUUAUUGAGUUCUCUUUUCAUUAAGAACACAUAGGUGUUAAUUAUCCUUGUUUGUCUUUAAACUACUUAACAACAAUUGAUAGUGCCCUUUCUACUUCUUCUUCAGGACUUACAUUGUUUUUGUUAGCAGCAUCAACUGUUUUUUUCUGUGUUUCAUCACAUGUCUCUUGUGGAUCAGCAGUUAGGAUUUGCACCUCAGUAGGCAUUUCCACUUUUUCUUCUUCUUUGACUGGACCACUUUCAGUGGACGACACCAUUGGAGCUUCCGAAGAAG